GUGGUAAUGCCGGAUGUUCCACAUGAUCGCAUGUGAUUGUGGGAAAGAUUCUAUCGGCGUGGGAUGGGGUCGCGUCCUAUCAGCUUGUUGGUGAGGUAACGGCUCACCAAGGCUUCGACGGGUAGCCGGCCUGAGAGGGCGACCGGCCACAUUGGGACUGAGAUACGGCCCAGACUCCUACGGGAGGCAGCAGUGGGGAAUAUUGCACAAUGGGCGCAAGCCUGAUGCAGCGACGCCGCGUGAGGGAUGGAGGCCUUCGGGUUGUAAACCUCUUUUGUUUGGGAGCAAGCCUUCGGGUGAGUGUACCUUUCGAAUAAGCGCCGGCUAACUACGUGCCAGCAGCCGCGGUAAUACGUAGGGCGCAAGCGUUAUCCGGAUUUAUUGGGCGUAAAGGGCUCGUAGGCGGCUCGUCGCGUCCGGUGUGAAAGUCCAUCGCUUAACGGUGGAUCUGCGCCGGGUACGGGCGGGCUGGAGUGCGGUAGGGGAGACUGGAAUUCCCGGUGUAACGGUGGAAUGUGUAGAUAUCGGAAAAAAACACCA
Molecule: ribosomal RNA, 540 nt
Filed under: Bifidobacterium bifidum
Lineage: Bacteria; Bacillati; Actinomycetota; Actinomycetes; Bifidobacteriales; Bifidobacteriaceae
Description: bacterial SSU rRNA
Rfam family: Bacterial small subunit ribosomal RNA
Source: RNAcentral